This 162-nucleotide non-coding RNA is filed under the name human gut metagenome. The record is from RNAcentral.
AUCGUGAGGUGUGGGAGAGAGGAAGCAAUAGCGAAAUCGUGGCUUGACGAACAGGAACAGAAUAUAAGGCGUAAACGGCGGAUGAGUUGGCCUAAGACAACAAAGUCCAAAAGGUAAUCGUAACCCUAAGGCGUAAAUUCUGCAAGUAAACGAGGAAAGAGA